UUUCUGAAGUUAUUAUACGUAGGUUUUGUAAAUCUAAGUAAACUGGAAC
RNAcentral lists this transfer RNA (49 nucleotides) under Paratemnoides elongatus. RNAcentral's name for it is "tRNA-Thr". Lineage: Eukaryota; Metazoa; Arthropoda; Arachnida; Pseudoscorpiones; Atemnidae. The record is from RNAcentral.